Helianthus annuus (common sunflower) is the source of this 478-nucleotide long non-coding RNA. RefSeq lists it as uncharacterized. The transcript has 2 exons. NCBI's taxonomy places the organism in Eukaryota, Viridiplantae, Streptophyta, Magnoliopsida, Asterales, Asteraceae. The record is from RefSeq and is a predicted model, not a curated record.
CCCAUUGCCAUUACCCAACCCAUUUAGUCAUUUACACUAAAUCCAAUAGCAUUCAAUCCUUUAUCCCAUCGCAAUUCAAAACACAGAAGCUAGGGUUUCUGUUUCUUUCAUGCCGUCGCCCAAACUCGUGCCUCUCCCCGUCGCAUUUUCGAAACCAUUCAUCCUCGUCGUCUUCACUUCGCUGGCGCCGUUAUUCCCUGUCUCCGGUCAGCUUGGAAAUCGAAUGCAGCAGGUCAAACGAAGAAGAAGAAGGUCAGAAGAAGAAGAAGAUCUAAAGAAGAAGAAAGGGUUUUAAAAGUUUGCUCAAUUGUCACAUUAGGCCCCUGUGGUUUUAAACUUUAAUAUCUUUAAUAUUUUAAGUUUCAAAAAUGCUAUAUCAGACCCUAAAGUUUUGUUUAUUAAAUGUCUCAUUUAAAUCUUUUAUAAAACUUAAAAUUUUGCAAUGUAAUUUUCAAGUAUUGUAAUUUUUUUAAUUUAA